GGCGAGUUUCUCUGGAAUCAGCUUUCUCAUUUCCCUCUCCCUCCUCUCAAGACAAACAUUUUCUCCCAGCUUGAACGUUCCCCCCGGGCGCGCGGGCCUCCUGCCGCCUGGAGCCGAGCUGGCACUGGAGCGCUUCUCCUCUGGAGCGCAGAGGCACCCGACGCCCUGCGGCAGCUCGCAGCCUUUCCCCCACGACCUUCUAGAACAGCCCUGCUCUGCCUCCCUCCGGUCUCCCGAGUGCGCCCGUCAUCCUGCCUCGCGAGAGGUGAACGCGGAGAAAACGGCUGGAGCCUCCCGACUCCAAGGCGGGCGACGGCAAAGUUAAACGCCAGCGCGCUGCGGUCCCCGGGCACCGAGGCGUCCCCGCUCCCGCCACCCACACAGGGCGCCAAGUGCCCCGACCCGCGAGUGACGAGGACGCACAGCCUGGAAGCCUCGCGGCCCUCCAGAUGGACUCGGAGCGCCCCUGGAGGCUACAGUGACCUAAGCUCUAGGAAGGCCGGGUCCUGGACGCCGCGUGCUGCUGUCCGCCGCCGACCGGUGUCCUCGCAGAGAUAACCUGGCUGAACUCACCGCCCAGCGCUAUGUCAGUUCUCCCUCAUGACAACCCAAAACUUGACCGGAUUUGUGUUCUGCAGAGAGGAAAAAAAAAAGCGGCCACCGAACACCAGUGCAGUAGCCAGGAUGGGCCUGUGGCUCUGGCUGCAGCCUCCAGGGACACCAGCUGGAGAGAAGGAAGCCACGCAUGGAGAGCGGCCAGGAGAAAAUCAAGGCUCCAAGAAGGC
This 785-nucleotide long non-coding RNA is filed under the name Homo sapiens (human). RNAcentral describes it as "HSALNT0115888". Lineage: Eukaryota; Metazoa; Chordata; Mammalia; Primates; Hominidae. The record is from RNAcentral.